UCAUGGCUCAGAUUGAACGCUGGCGGCAAGGCCUAACACAUGCAAGUCGAACGGUAACAGGAAGAAGCUUGCUUCUUUGCUGACGAGUGGCGGACGGGUGAGUAAUGUCUGGGAAACUGCCUGAUGAGGGGGAUAACUACUGGAAACGGUAGCUAAUACCGCAUAACGUCGCAAGACCAAAGAGGGGGACCUUCGGGCCUCUUGCCAUCGGAUGUGCCCAGAUGGGAUUAGCUAGUAGGUGGGGUAACGGCUCACCUAGGCGACGAUCCCUAGCUGGUCUGAGAGGAUGACCAGCCACACUGGAACUGAGACACGGUCCAGACUCCUACGGGAGGCAGCAGUGGGGAAUAUUGCACAAUGGGCGCAAGCCUGAUGCAGCCAUGCCGCGUGUAUGAAGAAGGCCUUCGGGUUGUAAAGUACUUUCAGCGGGGAGGAAGGGAGUAAAGUUAAUACCUUUGCUCAUUGACGUUACCCGCAGAAGAAGCACCGGCUAACUCCGUG
RNAcentral lists this ribosomal RNA (501 nucleotides) under uncultured bacterium. Its description in RNAcentral is "bacterial SSU rRNA". It matches the Rfam family "Bacterial small subunit ribosomal RNA", at positions 17 to 507 of the family's 1533-position model. The record is from RNAcentral.